AAGGUCAUUUACUCACAUGGAACAGGUGGCCACUGCCGCGCCUAUUAUUUGUGAAUUACAAAAAUUCCACUCUCCGCAUAUAAUAUAUAUAUAUGUGUGUGUGUAUAUAUAUGUCAUCGCUGCUUCAUCCAAACUGCCUUCUUUUCUUCUUCCCCACCCUUUCAUCCACAUUUCAAUAUGAAGAAAUCGGGUUCCAUCGCCGCCUCCGUCGUCGCCGCCGCCGCCGCCGAGUCUGCCUCCCCCAGUUCCUCCACCAUUUUCUGCAACCUAAAAGUUCAGCUCCCUCGGCAGGAGGGGAAGGAAGGAGAGAAUCCGUCGUCCUCGGCGGAUAAAUUUGCUCCCAAAUUUGAUGGAUUGAAAUUUAUUAAGACUCUGGUUACGGCUCACAGAUAAACUGCCCCGGGGAAGGCGUCGGCGAUGGCCGGACUAAACUUCGUAUACUGCCUUAUUUUGUUUGUUAUUUUUGUCGUCGAAACUCUCACAUUUUGCACAUUCAAGAUAGCAAAUUGAAUAAUAAUUUUAGUUUAAAGUACAGUUUUUCCUCGUCGAGAAUCAUUCACCGCUC
Molecule: long non-coding RNA, 565 nt
Organism: Cucurbita pepo subsp. pepo (vegetable marrow)
Lineage: Eukaryota; Viridiplantae; Streptophyta; Magnoliopsida; Cucurbitales; Cucurbitaceae
Source: RefSeq, a predicted model, not a curated record